Molecule: ribosomal RNA, 292 nt
Filed under: uncultured eukaryote
Lineage: Eukaryota
Description: partial 18S ribosomal RNA
Rfam family: Eukaryotic small subunit ribosomal RNA
Source: RNAcentral
GGUUGAUCCUGCCAGUAACAUAUGCUUGUUUAAAAGAUUAAGCCAUGCAUGUCUAAGUAUAAACAUCUUUAUACAGUGAAACUGCGUACAGCUCAUUAUAUCAGUAAUUAUUUAUUUGAAGGUGACUCACUACAUGGAUAACUGUAGUAAUUCUAGAGCUAAUACAUGCGUAAAGUUCCGACUCUCGGGAAGGAAUGUAUUUAUUAGAUAAAAAAUCAAUGCAGGUUUUACCUGGUUUAUUGGUGAUUCAUAGUAACUGUUCGAAUCGUAUGGCCUUGUGCUGACGAUAGUU